GAUGAAGAACGUAGCGAAAUGCGAUAAGUAAUGUGAAUUGCAGAAUUCAGUGAAUCAUCGAAUCUUUGAACGCACAUUGCGCCCGCCAGUAUUCUGGCGGGCAUGCCUGUUCGAGCGUCAUUUCAACCAUCAAGCCCCCGGCUUGUGUUGGGGACCUGCGGCUGCCGCAGGCCCUGAAAACCAGUGGCGGGCUCGCUAGUCACUCCGAGCGUAGUAAUACAUCUCGCUCAGGGCGUGCUGCGGGUUCCGGCCGUUAAAAAGCCUUAUUUACCCAAGGUUGACCUCGGAUCAGGUAGGAAGACCCGCUGAACUUAAGCAUAUCAAUAAGCAGAGGA
Molecule: unclassified non-coding RNA, 335 nt
Filed under: soil metagenome
Description: partial contains 5.8S ribosomal RNA, internal transcribed spacer 2, and large subunit ribosomal RNA
Rfam family: 5.8S ribosomal RNA (bases 1-120)
Source: RNAcentral